Molecule: ribosomal RNA, 458 nt
Filed under: uncultured bacterium
Lineage: Bacteria
Description: bacterial SSU rRNA
Rfam family: Bacterial small subunit ribosomal RNA
Source: RNAcentral
AUUGAACGCUAGCGGGAUGCCUUACACAUGCAAGUCGAACGGCAGCGCGGACUUCGGUCUGGCGGCGAGUGGCGAACGGGUGAGUAAUGUAUCGGAACGUGCCCAGUAGCGGGGGACAACCACUCGAAAGAGUGGCUAAUACCGCAUACGCCCUACGGGGAAAGGGGGGAGUCGCAAGACCUCUCACUAUUGGAGCGGCCGAUAUCGGAUUAGCUAGUUGGUGGGGUAAAGGCCUACCAAGGCGACGAUCCGUAGCUGGUUUGAGAGGACGACCAGCCACACUGGACUGAGACACGGCCCAGACUCCUACGGGAGGCAGCAGUGGGGAAUUUUGGACAAUGGGGGAAACCCUGAUCCAGCCAUUCCGCGUGUGCGAUGAAGGCCUUCGGUUGUAAGCGACUUUUGGUCAGGAAAAGGAAAUACGUGUGGGUUAAUACCCUGCGCGGAUGACGGUACCU